CCUGGUGGCGAGUGGCGAACGGGUGAGUAAUACAUCGGAAUGUACCUUGUAGUGGGGGAUAGCUCGGCGAAAGCCGGAUUAAUACCGCAUACGCUCUGAGGAGGAAAGCGGGGGACCUUCGGGCCUCGUGCUACAAGAGCAGCCGAUGUCAGAUUAGCUAGUUGGUGGGGUAAAAGCUCACCAAGGCGACGAUCUGUAGCUGGUCUGAGAGGACGACCAGCCAAACUGGGACUGAGACACGGCCCAGACUCCUACGGGAGGCAGCAGUGGGGAAUUUUGGACAAUGGGCGAAAGCCUGAUCCAGCAAUGCCGCGUGUGUGAAGAAGGCCUUCGGGUUGUAAAGCACUUUUGUCCGGAAAGAAAUCCCUUGGGAUAAUACCUCGGGGGGAUGACGGUACCGGAAGAAUAAGCACCGGCUAACUACGUGCCAGCAGCCGCGGUAAUACGUAGGGUGCAAGCGUUAAUCGGAAUUACUGGGCGUAAAGCGUGCGCAGGCGGUUUUGUAAGACGGAUGUGAAAUCCCCGGGCUUAACCUGGGAACUGCAUUCGUGACUGCAAGGCUAGAGUAUGGCAGAGGGGGGUAGAAUUCCACGUGUAGCAGUGAAAUGCGUAGAGAUGUGGAGGAAUACCGAUGGCGAAGGCAGCCCCCUGGGCCAAUACUGACGCUCAUGCACGAAAGCGUGGGGAGCAAACAGGAUUAGAUACCCUGGUAGUCCACGCCCUAAACGAUGUCAACUAGUUGUUGGGGAUUCAUUUCCUUAGUAACGAAGCUAACGCGUGAAGUUGACCGCCUGGGGAGUACGGUCGCAAGAUUAAAACUCAAAGGAAUUGACGGGGACCCGCACAAGCGGUGGAUGAUGUGGAUUAAUUCGAUGCAACGCGAAAAACCUUACCUACCCUUGACAUGUACGGAAUCUUGCUGAAAGG
This 927-nucleotide ribosomal RNA is filed under the name Pandoraea sp. MZ0344H. RNAcentral describes it as "bacterial SSU rRNA". It matches the Rfam family "Bacterial small subunit ribosomal RNA", at positions 84 to 1008 of the family's 1533-position model. Lineage: Bacteria; Pseudomonadati; Pseudomonadota; Betaproteobacteria; Burkholderiales; Burkholderiaceae. The record is from RNAcentral.